UGAGGUGAUUAAGCGCAGAGGUCACACCCGUUCCCAUCCCGAACACGGCCGUUAAGCUCUGUUGCGCCGAUGGUACUGCACUGUGGGAGAGUAGGUUGUUGCCUCAU
RNAcentral lists this ribosomal RNA (107 nucleotides) under Bacteroidota bacterium. RNAcentral also lists the same sequence under 2 other names. Lineage: Bacteria; Pseudomonadati; Bacteroidota. The record is from RNAcentral.